CUGGCCUAACCGAGUAACAAGAUGUCCUACCACAGAGAAGGUACCUGCUGAAAAAAUAUUAAUUCCGGAGUCAAUAGUGGGUAAAAUGAAAAUGGACUAUUGAAAGCUUACUAUAUGUUUCAAAAGCCUGCUGAAUAUUGAAGAGCACGAAUAGACCUUUAAAUGUUUUACUUAUAACUUUUUGUUACUUUAUAUUGUUGGGUGAUAGUUUCAUUGUCAUUUAAGUCACAUCUUCUCUAGUAAUCUUCACCUUUUAACAUGAACCAAAUAUAAUAUUUUGUCAACAUUUGUUCAUACCAAUUUUUGCAUAAUUUUCCAUUCUAUUUAUUUUUUAGGUAAUAG
Molecule: long non-coding RNA, 342 nt
Filed under: Mytilus galloprovincialis (Mediterranean mussel)
Lineage: Eukaryota; Metazoa; Mollusca; Bivalvia; Mytilida; Mytilidae
Source: RNAcentral